CGUAUAAAGUUCUAGAUAGAAUUAUGAUAAUGACAUUCUCUAUCUAUAAGUCUUGACCAACAUGCGUGCCAGCAGUCGCGGCAAGACGCUAAAGACUAGUGUUAUUCAUCUUUAAUAGGUUUAAAGGGUACCUAGACGGUAAAUCAAGCCUUAACCGGGACUAAUUUAACUAGAGUUAGAUGUAAGGGUGCAUUAACGUACUAUUGAGUGUAGAGAUGAAAUUCUAUGAUACCAGAUGAUUGGCACGGGUUUAGGCGAAAGCAUCACCUUAUGUAAUAACUGACGUUGAGGGACGAAGGCUUUGUGUCGCGAACAGGAUUAGGUACCCCAGUAGUCUUAGCAGAAAAUGAUGAGUGUCAUAGGUUAAAUAUUAUUUAGUCUAUAAAUGAAAGUGUAAGCAUUCCACCUCAAGAGUAAUUUGGCAACAUUGGAAUUGAAAUCAUUAGACCGUUUCUGAAACCAGUAGUGAAGUAUGUUGUUUAAUUAGAUGAUACACAAAAAACCUUACCACAAUUUGAAUAUUUUACAAGCGUUGCACGGCUGUCUUCAGUUAAUGUCGUGAGAUUAUGGUUAGUUCCAUUAAAUUAACGUAAACC
RNAcentral lists this ribosomal RNA (596 nucleotides) under Leptogium puberulum. RNAcentral describes it as "SSU rRNA". It matches the Rfam family "Bacterial small subunit ribosomal RNA", at positions 424 to 1104 of the family's 1533-position model. Lineage: Eukaryota; Fungi; Ascomycota; Lecanoromycetes; Peltigerales; Collemataceae. The record is from RNAcentral.